AUGGCUGCAAAUAUUUUGUCAGGGAAAAUUCCAUAUAACAUUGGAUAUACCCUUCCAAGCAUCCAAACUUUGAUUAUGCGAGCGAACAAAUUUCAUGGCCAAAUCCCCACUUCACUAGCCAACACAACGAUUCUUCGGGCAAUUGAUCUCGGUAGCAAUUCGUUCCAUGGUAUUGUGCCUUCUCUUGGGACUCUUCCCAAGUUAAUCUACCUGGAUCUCGGUGAAAAUCGUCUGGAAGCAGGAGAUUGGUCUUUCUUAACCUCGUUGACCAAUUGCACCCAGUUGGUGGAAUUAUCCUUAAAUGCAAAUAUCCUUCAAGGAGAUUUGCCGAGUUCCAUUGCAGGACUCUCGAAGAGCUUAGAGGUAUUGUUAUUAAGAGAAAAUAGAAUAUCAUGCACUAUACCAUGGGAGAUACAUCACCUCAGAAACAUCAAAACUCUUUACAUGGGAAAUUUUUUGCUUGGUGGAAGAAUCCCUGAAUCACUUGGAAAUCUUCGAAACUUGUUUGUCCUAAGCUUAUCCCAGAACAAACUUUCCGGAAGAAUUCCAUUGUCAAUUGGCAAUCUAAGCAUAUUGAGUGAGCUAUAUUUACAGGAAAAUAAUUUGAGUGGCCCAAUCCCAGGAGCUCUAGGAGACUGCAAAAAAUUGGUCAUGCCGAACCUCUCUUGCAAUACCUUUGAUGAGAGCAUACCAAAGGAGCUCUUUACUCUUUCCUCCCUUGCAGAAGGUUUGGACUUAUCUCAUAAUAAACUCUCAGGAGAAAUACCACUGCAGAUUGGUGGCUUGGCCAAUCUCGGCCCAUUGAAUAUAUCCAAUAACCAGUUGUCUGGACAAAUACCCUCUACUCUUGGUCAGUGCGUCCACUUGGAUUCGCUGCACAUGGAGAGGAACAAUUUUCAUGGGGGAAUCCCUCAAUAUUUCAUGAAUUUGAGAGGCGCCAUUGUGAUGGAUCUAUCGCAAAACAACUUGUCUGGUGAAAUCCCUGACUUCUUCGAGUCCUUUAGUUCUAUGAAGCUUCCAAACUUGUUGCUCAAUAACUUCCAGGGACUAGUGCCACCAGGUGGAAUGUUUCAGAAUGAAAGUGAGGUGUUCUUACAAGGAAACAAGAAGUUAUGUGCCAACACCCCAUUGCUAGAGUUGCCACUUUGCAAUGAAAUGAUAUCCAAAAAAAAUUGUACACCUCCAAGAUUCUGA
This 1194-nucleotide ribosomal RNA is filed under the name Triticum aestivum (bread wheat). RNAcentral's name for it is "partial small subunit ribosomal RNA". The record is from RNAcentral. Lineage: Eukaryota; Viridiplantae; Streptophyta; Magnoliopsida; Poales; Poaceae.